Long non-coding RNA from Lolium perenne, 475 nucleotides. RefSeq lists it as uncharacterized. NCBI's taxonomy places the organism in Eukaryota, Viridiplantae, Streptophyta, Magnoliopsida, Poales, Poaceae. The record is from RefSeq and is a predicted model, not a curated record.
ACACUAUCUAUACGGCAGUGGCAACUAACAUGGAAUUUCCUUUGAUGUUUUUAUGUACCACAAAUUUAGCACAUGCAUGGCAAAUGAAAUAAGCCAGUGAGUCAGCACAUUUGAGGUAAACGUCAACAUCAUCUACUUUGGGUCAAGGGAGAUGCAGGAGCUGCAAAAGAUUAGGCUAGACGCAUUAUGACCGGACACACAAGGCCUCCUAGGGAAUCUGAUAUGAGGCAAGAUUUUUACAUGAUGGGGAAGUUCUUCAAACAAAGUGCAUACAGCUGGUGAUCCGCAUGAGAGUAAAAUACAUACAAUUUGUUACCUUUUCUGGUGAUCCGCUAUUUCCCUGGUGGGGAAGUUCUUCAAACAAAGUGCACCUGAAGUUUCGUCAGCAAUUUGAAAUGUGGGAGGGCAAAUUGGUCAAGUUGAAAAUAUGUGUGACGAAGCCUCCCGACCGGAGGAAACAGAGGAAGUUCUUCCU